This 410-nucleotide ribosomal RNA is filed under the name uncultured Bifidobacterium sp. Its description in RNAcentral is "bacterial SSU rRNA". It matches the Rfam family "Bacterial small subunit ribosomal RNA", at positions 356 to 774 of the family's 1533-position model. The record is from RNAcentral. Lineage: Bacteria; Bacillati; Actinomycetota; Actinomycetes; Bifidobacteriales; Bifidobacteriaceae.
GGGGAAUAUUGCACAAUGGGCGCAAGCCUGAUGCAGCGACGCCGCGUGCGGGAUGGAGGCCUUCGGGUUGUAAACCGCUUUUGUUUGGGAGCAAGCCCUUCGGGGUGAGUGUACCUUUCGAAUAAGCACCGGCUAACUACGUGCCAGCAGCCGCGGUAAUACGUAGGGUGCGAGCGUUAUCCGGAUUUAUUGGGCGUAAAGGGCUCGUAGGCGGUUCGUCGCGUCCGGUGUGAAAGUCCAUCGCCUAACGGUGGAUCUGCGCCGGGUACGGGCGGGCUGGAGUGCGGUAGGGGAGACUGGAAUUCCCGGUGUAACGGUGGAAUGUGUAGAUAUCGGGAAGAACACCAAUGGCGAAGGCAGGUCUCUGGGCCGUUACUGACGCUGAGGAGCGAAAGCGUGGGGAGCGAACA